Molecule: ribosomal RNA, 518 nt
Filed under: uncultured bacterium
Lineage: Bacteria
Description: bacterial SSU rRNA
Rfam family: Bacterial small subunit ribosomal RNA
Source: RNAcentral
AGAACUUAGCAGAGAUGCUUUGGUGCCUUCGGGAACUCUGAGACAGGUGCUGCAUGGCUGUCGUCAGCUCGUGUUGUGAAAUGGUUGGGUUAAGUCCCGCAACGAGCGCAACCCUUAUCCUUUGUCGUCAGCGGUCCGGCCGGGAACUCAAAGGAGACUGCCAGUGAUAAACUGGAGGAAGGUGGGGAUGACGUCAAGUCAUCAUGGCCCUUACGAGUAGGGCUACACACGUGCUACAAUGGCGCAUACAAAGAGAAGCGACCUCGCGAGAGCAAGCGGACCUCAUAAAGUGCGUCGUAGUCCGGAUUGGAGUCUGCAACUCGACUCCAUGAAGUCGGAAUCGCUAGUAAUCGUGGAUCAGAAUGCCACGGUGAAUACGUUCCCGGGCCUUGUACACACCGCCCGUCACACCAUGGGAGUGGGUUGCAAAAGAAGUAGGUAGCUUAACCUUCGGGAGGGCGCUUACCACUUUGUGAUUCAUGACUGGGGUGAAGUCGUAACAAGGUAGGCGUAGUGCU